CAGCAGCCACGGGAAUACGAAGGGCGCGAGCGUUACCCGGAUUUACUGGGCGUAAAGGGCGUGUAGGCGGCCUGGGGCGUCCCAUGUGAAAGGCCACGGCUCAACCGUGGAGGAGCGUGGGAUACGCUCAGGCUAGAGGGUGGGAGAGGGUGGUGGAAUUCCCGGAGUAGCGGUGAAAUGCGCAGAUACCGGGAGGAACGCCGAUGGCGAAGGCAGCCACCUGGUCCACUUCUGACGCUGAGGCGCGAAAGCGUGGGGAGCAAACAGGAUUAGAUACCCGCGUAGUCCCUGUCUCUUAUAC
RNAcentral lists this ribosomal RNA (301 nucleotides) under uncultured bacterium. RNAcentral's name for it is "partial 16S ribosomal RNA". It matches the Rfam family "Bacterial small subunit ribosomal RNA", at positions 509 to 807 of the family's 1533-position model. The record is from RNAcentral.